RNAcentral lists this ribosomal RNA (403 nucleotides) under Lactiplantibacillus plantarum. Its description in RNAcentral is "Lactobacillus plantarum partial 16S ribosomal RNA". It matches the Rfam family "Bacterial small subunit ribosomal RNA", at positions 72 to 468 of the family's 1533-position model. The record is from RNAcentral. Lineage: Bacteria; Bacillati; Bacillota; Bacilli; Lactobacillales; Lactobacillaceae.
UCAUGAUUUACAUUUGAUUGAGUGGCGAACUGGKGAGUAACACGUGGGAAACCUGCCCAGAAGMGGGGGAUAACACCUGGAAACAGAUGCUAAUACCGCAUAACAACUUGGACCGCAUGGUCCGAGYUUGAAAGAUGGCUUYGGCUAUCACUUUUGGAUGGUCCCGCGGCGUAUUARCUARAUGGUGRGGUAACGGCUCACCAUGGCAAUGAUACGUAGCCGACCUGAGAGGGUAAUCSGCCACAUUGGGACUGARACACGGCCCAAACUCCUACGGGAGGSAGCAGUAGGGAAUCUUCCACAAUGGACGAAAGUCUGAUGGAGCAACGCCGCGUGAGUGAAGAAGGGUUUCGGCUCGUAAAACUCUGUUGUUAAAGAAGAACAUAUCUGAGAGUAACUGUUC